RNAcentral lists this ribosomal RNA (612 nucleotides) under Staphylococcus aureus. RNAcentral describes it as "bacterial SSU rRNA". It matches the Rfam family "Bacterial small subunit ribosomal RNA", at positions 220 to 824 of the family's 1533-position model. Lineage: Bacteria; Bacillati; Bacillota; Bacilli; Caryophanales; Staphylococcaceae. The record is from RNAcentral.
UAUAGAUGGAUCCGCGCUGCAUUAGCUAGUUGGUAAGGUAACGGCUUACCAAGGCAACGAUGCAUAGCCGACCUGAGAGGGUGAUCGGCCACACUGGAACUGAGACACGGUCCAGACUCCUACGGGAGGCAGCAGUAGGGAAUCUUCCGCAAUGGGCGAAAGCCUGACGGAGCAACGCCGCGUGAGUGAUGAAGGUCUUCGGAUCGUAAAACUCUGUUAUUAGGGAAGAACAUAUGUGUAAGUAACUGUGCACAUCUUGACGGUACCUAAUCAGAAAGCCACGGCUAACUACGUGCCAGCAGCCGCGGUAAUACGUAGGUGGCAAGCGUUAUCCGGAAUUAUUGGGCGUAAAGCGCGCGUAGGCGGUUUUUUAAGUCUGAUGUGAAAGCCCACGGCUCAACCGUGGAGGGUCAUUGGAAACUGGAAAACUUGAGUGCAGAAGAGGAAAGUGGAAUUCCAUGUGUAGCGGUGAAAUGCGCAGAGAUAUGGAGGAACACCAGUGGCGAAGGCGACUUUCUGGUCUGUAACUGACGCUGAUGUGCGAAAGCGUGGGGAUCAAACAGGAUUAGAUACCCUGGUAGUCCACGCCGUAAACGAUGAGUGCUAAGUGUU